GGAGUUUGCUCACUUUUCAUCAUAAAAUGGAUCGUAGGUGGUGGAGAGCACAGGCAAUACGCUACUUAAUGAGAUUUCAAACUGAGUAUACAUGUGGCUUGAUGAAUGUUGCCCGUAAUACUGCAUUNNNNNNNNNNNGUUGCAAAGAUGGUUCUUGCAAGUCUAGGUGAUAAAUGGCCAAAGGAAGUCAGAAACAAGCCAAGAUCAGAUAUUCAAGAAUUUGUAUGGUCAAACCAC
This 237-nucleotide unclassified non-coding RNA is filed under the name Hevea brasiliensis (rubber tree). Lineage: Eukaryota; Viridiplantae; Streptophyta; Magnoliopsida; Malpighiales; Euphorbiaceae. The record is from RNAcentral.